AUUGAACGCUGGCGGCAGGCUUAACACAUGCAAGUCGAACGGUAACAUAAAGAAGCUUGCUUCUUUGAUGACGAGUGGCGGACGGGUGAGUAAUGCUUGGGAAUCUAGCUUAUGGAGGGGGAUAACUACGGGAAACUGUAGCUAAUACCGCGUAGAAUCGAGAGAUGAAAGUGUGGGACCUUCGGGCCACAUGCCAUAGGAUGAGCCCAAGUGGGAUUAGGUAGUUGGUGAAGUAAAGGCUCACCAAGCCGACGAUCUCUAGCUGGUCUGAGAGGAUGACCAGCCACACUGGGACUGAGACACGGCCCAGACUCCUACGGGAGGCAGCAGUGGGGAAUAUUGCGCAAUGGGGGCAACCCUGACGCAGCCAUGCCGCGUGAAUGAAGAAGGCCUU
Molecule: ribosomal RNA, 394 nt
Filed under: Terrahaemophilus aromaticivorans
Lineage: Bacteria; Pseudomonadati; Pseudomonadota; Gammaproteobacteria; Pasteurellales; Pasteurellaceae
Description: bacterial SSU rRNA
Rfam family: Bacterial small subunit ribosomal RNA
Source: RNAcentral